This 171-nucleotide ribosomal RNA is filed under the name Larix occidentalis (western larch). RNAcentral describes it as "partial 19S ribosomal RNA". Lineage: Eukaryota; Viridiplantae; Streptophyta; Pinopsida; Pinales; Pinaceae. The record is from RNAcentral.
CCUAUAACGAGCGAACCCUCGUCUUGUGUUGCUGAGACAUGCGCUAACGGAUCAAUUUCAUCGCCAGUCAGGGUGGGGCAAGUGCCUCUUUUUGAGUGAUGACACUCCUAUGAAGGCAGGUGCGUGCUGCACUCACAAGAGACUGCCAGUGAUAUACUGGAGGAAGGUGGA